Long non-coding RNA from Lampris incognitus (smalleye Pacific opah), 310 nucleotides. RefSeq lists it as uncharacterized. NCBI's taxonomy places the organism in Eukaryota, Metazoa, Chordata, Actinopteri, Lampriformes, Lampridae. The transcript has 3 exons. The record is from RefSeq and is a predicted model, not a curated record.
CACGGUGUGAACCCACCCCACCCCAAACCAGCCCACACUGGCUUUGUUCCACUGAACGUAGAGUCUGGCCCUGAAAGACCUGCUAAAAGUAUUUCACUCAAGGAAGCUCUGGAGACAGCCAGACCGGACUUCAUCCGUCGUUCCCAGGAAAGAUUGAGAGAGAUGGGGCGAAGGGCGCAGGAAAGGCGGGCGCUCUCCGGUUCUGCAGCUUCGCAGUCGAACGCCAUGCUCGGGCACAAAAGACGCCACGGCUCCCGGUUGCCCUCUCAGAGUGAUAACCUUUUCAAACCCAGAGAUAGAGCCAUUAUUG